CUGUGAGCUCGAUGAGUAGGGCGGGACACGUGGUAUCCUGUCUGAAUAUGGGGGGACCAUCCUCCAAGGCUAAAUACUCCUGACUGACCGAUAGUGAACCAGUACCGUGAGGGAAAGGCGAAAAGAACCCCGGCGAGGGGAGUGAAAAAGAACCUGAAACCGUGUACGUACAAGCAGUGGGAGCACGCUUAGGCGUGUGACUGCGUACCUUUUGUAUAAUGGGUCAGCGACUUAUAUUCUGUAGCAAGGUUAACCGAAUAGGGGAGCCGAAGGGAAACCGAGUCUUAACUGGGCGUUAAGUUGCAGGGUAUAGACCCGAAACCCGGUGAUCUAGCCAUGGGCAGGUUGAAGGUUGGGUAACACUAACUGGAGGACCGAACCGACUAAUGUUGAAAAAUUAGCGGAUGACUUGUGGCUGGGGGUGAAAGGCCAAUCAAACCGGGAGAUAGCUGGUUCUCCCCGAAAGCUAUUUAGGUAGCGCCUCGUGAAUUCAUCUCCGGGGGUAGAGCACUGUUUCGGCAAGGGGGUCAUCCCGACUUACCAACCCGAUGCAAACUGCGAAUACCGGAGAAUGUUAUCACGGGAGACACACGGCGGGUGCUAACGUCCGUCGUGAAGAGGGAAACAACCCAGACCGCCAGCUAAGGUCCCAAAGUCAUGGUUAAGUGGGAAACGAUGUGGGAAGGCCCAGACAGCCAGGAUGUUGGCUUAGAAGCAGCCAUCAUUUAAAGAAAGCGUAAUAGCUCACUGGUCGAGUCGGCCUGCGCGGAAGAUGUAACGGGGCUAAACCAUGCACCGAAGCUGCGGCAGCGACGCUGAUGCGUUGUUGGGUAGGGGAGCGUUCUGUAAGCCUGCGAAGGUGUGCUGUGAGGCAUGCUGGAGGUAUCAGAAGUGCGAAUGCUGACAUAAGUAACGAUAAAGCGGGUGAAAAGCCCGCUCGCCGGAAGACCAAGGGUUCCUGUCCAACGUUAAUCGGGGCAGGGUGAGUCGACCCCUAAGGCGAGGCCGAAAGGCGUAGUCGAUGGGAAACAGGUUAAUAUUCCUGUACUUGGUGUUACUGCGAAGGGGGGACGGAGAAGGCUAUGUUGGCCGGGCGACGGUUGUCCCGGUUUAAGCGUGUAGGCUGGUUUUCCAGGCAAAUCCGGAAAAUCAAGGCUGAGGCGUGAUGACGAGGCACUACGGUGCUGAAGCAACAAAUGCCCUGCUUCCAGGAAAAGCCUCUAAGCAUCAGGUAACAUCAAAUCGUACCCCAAACCGACACAGGUGGUCAGGUAGAGAAUACCAAGGCGCUUGAGAGAACUCGGGUGAAGGAACUAGGCAAAAUGGUGCCGUAACUUCGGGAGAAGGCACGCUGAUAUGUAGGUGAAGUCCCUCGCGGAUGGAGCUGAAAUCAGUCGAAGAUACCAGCUGGCUGCAACUGUUUAUUAAAAACACAGCACUGUGCAAACACGAAAGUGGACGUAUACGGUGUGACGCCUGCCCGGUGCCGGAAGGUUAAUUGAUGGGGU
Molecule: ribosomal RNA, 1508 nt
Filed under: Escherichia coli
Lineage: Bacteria; Pseudomonadati; Pseudomonadota; Gammaproteobacteria; Enterobacterales; Enterobacteriaceae
Description: partial 23S ribosomal RNA
Rfam family: Bacterial large subunit ribosomal RNA
Source: RNAcentral